Molecule: ribosomal RNA, 254 nt
Filed under: uncultured bacterium
Lineage: Bacteria
Description: partial 16S ribosomal RNA
Rfam family: Bacterial small subunit ribosomal RNA
Source: RNAcentral
UACGUAGGGACCAAGCGUUACUCGGAAUUACUGGGCGUAAAGCGUGCGUAGGUGGUGAGUUAAGUCUGUCGUGAAAGCCCCCGGGCUCAACCUGGGAAUGGCGAUGGAUACUGGCUCGCUAGAGUGCGGUAGAGGAGAGUGGAAUUCCCGGUGUAGCAGUGAAAUGCGUAGAGAUCGGGAGGAACAUCAGUUGCGAAGGCGGCUCUCUGGACCAGCACUGACACUGAGGCACGAAAGCGUGGGGAGCAAACAGG